RNAcentral lists this long non-coding RNA (2192 nucleotides) under Cricetulus griseus (Chinese hamster). Its description in RNAcentral is "lncRNA (ENSCGRG00015029752.1)". Lineage: Eukaryota; Metazoa; Chordata; Mammalia; Rodentia; Cricetidae. The record is from RNAcentral.
AAUUAGACGACCUCUGUUGGUGUGGCCUCAGCCCUGCAAGAAAUUCAGCAGACUCCCUAAGCGUAAGCUCGAUGCAGGGCCAAAGUCUGCCAGCAGGGGGCGCACCCAAGCUCACAGCAAAGACAAAGGCCAGAAGCAAACUGUUGUGGGGUGGUGAGCGGAUGGAGGCUGCUGGGAAAGGCAGGGAGCAGAAUCCGAGAGUCAAUCAGCAGGGCCAGGAAGAAGAUAUCUAACCUUUCACCUCCAAAACGAACAUUGAAAGUACAGAAACACAAGAUUGGCUGUUUUCUAAGAGGGAGAAUGAAAAGCUGGGAGUCCUCUUGGUGGCCAGACAGGAAACUUGUCUCCCAGGAAGAGACUUCACUCUGUUAGACUGCCUGGCAGGACGCACUGGAGCCCCAAUAACAACAGCGGUCAGUGAUGGGCAGGAUGGCACCUGAACCAAGCCUGCUUGCUGUGCACACUGUGUCCCUGUUUAAAUCUAAACCUCAUGUCAGGACUCUGAAGAUGGAGUUAGUAGGAUGUGUUUGUUCCUCUUGAAAUGGAACCACCUUGCACAAAUCUUCCGGUUGACCCGUUGCAGGUAGAUGGCUUAUCCUGGUUCAUUCAGGCUGCCAGGGCCCUUCCAGAUGCUGGUCCUCAACACAUCAGUAACAAUAGGACAGAGAGGUACAGAAUAUGGCACCCAUUGAGUGGAGUCUGGGAAAGAACUGGAAGUCACCUGUGGGUGACCUGUCUUUUCUUUCAGGUCACCAGGAAACUGGCUUCUCACUAUGGACUGGAGACCUGUAGCAAGGACUUCCAAACAAGCCAUCAGAUGGCCCCACAGAACAUGAGGCCUCAGUGUUUGACUUUUUUUUCCUGCCAUCUGGAAUGUCAAGGUCCCUAUUCCAAGUACAUUUUUUCCUUAGCUACACAGCCAGGCUUUCCUAAAUAUCCACAGUUAUGUGGCCCUUUUGUUGUGGCUUCAGUUUCCUGUGUAUCCUCAACACAAGAGAACAGAGGACCAGGAGGAGAGGGGAAAAUGAAAAGUUGUUUGCUUUCCUGUCAUGCCCCAGUGAACCCACGACUCCCCCACCCCUCACAGACCUGGGAAAGACCCAGAAUGCCACUGUGGUCAGAACAUGCUGUAUUUGAUUCAUUUUCAUUUUUAAGAUAAAAAGUUUUAUUUCAGAGAGAAACACAAAGCCCUGGGUGUUAUGGAUCAGCCAGGAUUUGACAGGGUUCUGGGACUUUCAAACUGUACAAAAUAAAUUGUAUCAUCCCUUGAUAACCCAAAGGACACAGUGGCCACAUCCUAACCCAGGGUCCCCCACCCUGGACCCCAGCUCUGCUCCUCAUGGGCUGCAGGAAGACUUGUAGCACUCUUGUCUCAUUUAGGCCACUUAAUUAUCAGAUGUGACUGUGUCUCCCCAUGCCCGUGUGAGGGUUAAUACUGACUGUCAGCUUUCCAGGUCCUACAGUCACCUAGGAGACAAACAUCUGGGCAUCCGUGUAAUGAAGUUUCUAGAUCGGGUUAACUGAACUGGGACAAUCCAUCCUAAUUAUGGUGGUACCACUCUGCAAGCUGCCGCCCCGGACUGAAUGAAAAGGAGAAAGUGAGCCAAGCGUCCAUCUCUCUCUGCUUCCUGAAUUUGAAUGCAAAGUAACCAACCUGCUUCACACCUCUGCCUUCUCUGCAGUGAUGGGCUACACCCUCCAUCCUUGAGCCAAAAAUAAACCCUUCCUUGCUUAUGCUGGUGUUGCCAGGUGUCUUUGUCCAAGCAGGGAGAAAAGUAACUGAUACAUCCUGCCAUGAUGCCAUCUUAAAUCAGGGGCUCCGCUUACCUCCUGAACUGUACCAGCCUCCUUACUAUCCCCUUGAAGCCACAGCCUUGAUCUCCCUCUGUUCUUACAAUCACCACUCACAUGUUCAUUCAUGGUGUAUGCACUGGUUGAGCGCCUGCUGUGUGCAGCAUAGUCCUGAAUCCUGGGGCUGUAACACUGGUGGGAACUGAAAAUCUGGUCAUAUUCCACCUCCAGUCACUCUCAGAGGAAGUGGCAAGCCAAGGGCGACAGGUCAGCACCAGGAAGGCCUGGGAUCUGCCGUCCCUGUCCUUCCUCACUGGAGGCUGAGAGGGUACAGGUGCCACCUUCACAGACUUCAACUCCCAGAGUAUCAUGAGCGACUUAAUGCUCAGCUCAUUAUAAUC